UACGUAGGGUGCGAGCGUUGUCCGGAAUUAUUGGGCGUAAAGAGCUCGUAGGCGGUCUGUCGCGUCGGUCGUGAAAACUUGGGGCUUAACCCUGAGCUUGCGGUCGAUACGGGCAUGACUGGAGUUCGGCAGGGGAGACUAGAAUUCCUGGUGUAGCGGUGAAAUGCGCAGAUAUCAGGAGGAACACCGGUGGCGAAGGCGGGUCUCUGGGCCGAUAUUGACGCUGAGGUGCGAAAGCGUGGGGAGCAAACAGG
RNAcentral lists this ribosomal RNA (254 nucleotides) under uncultured bacterium. RNAcentral's name for it is "partial 16S ribosomal RNA". It matches the Rfam family "Bacterial small subunit ribosomal RNA", at positions 524 to 776 of the family's 1533-position model. The record is from RNAcentral.